Neofelis nebulosa (Clouded leopard) is the source of this 3302-nucleotide long non-coding RNA. RefSeq lists it as uncharacterized. The record is from RefSeq and is a predicted model, not a curated record. The transcript is spliced from 2 exons. NCBI's taxonomy places the organism in Eukaryota, Metazoa, Chordata, Mammalia, Carnivora, Felidae.
GCCUCCCCUGCCCGCCCCACAACCCCACCCCAGCCAACACACCAGAGAGAAUGGCCCAUUGCUUUGCCCCACCAUUAAAUUGGUCAGAGCUAAGAGCCCAGCCAGCUGGCGUUCUACCCAGGAAGGGCUGUAGUGCCGACAGGCGACUAGCUCGAACUGCGCCAGUCCGAGAGCAUUACUGCCGCCUCCCACGAGCUCCGCUGCGGUUGCACUGCUGAUUGGCUGGCUCCACUCUCUUCUAAGUGGCUUAGCCUUGCGUUCGCGCAGGGACACAUCCAAUGAGGAGCGAGGGCGCUUUCAGGAGGCGGGCAUUGCUCUACCGGUUCCACUUCUGAUUGGUCCAGGGGCUUGCCUCUUCUCUUUUGAUCGAUCAGAGGGGCGGGAGGCGGGAGCCCAGCUCAACGGUUUCAGGCGGCAGUUGGGAGUUCUGUCCCUGUGCUUCGAAAGUUCAGCUUCAGGACUCGGUGGAGUGUUGUCUGGCGCCUACUUCCCCGCAGCUAGCUGAGGAACUGGGGAGGGAACACGGGGGCAGGAGGACCUGGGACUGUAGCUGCAGCUCCAAGUCGGGAUGGAGACCGACUGAGGCGAGUGGCGGACCGGCGGGUGCAAACCCCUCAAAAAGCUGGAAGAGUCAGGUGCUGUAGUAGUAGUAGUAACAGCAGCUCCCGUUCACCGAGCCCUUUUGGUGGACCGCUGUGUGUGCAUCAUCUCACUGACUCCUUCUAAAUAACCCUGUUACUCUGCCGGUUAACCUCCGAGGGUCAUUUGUCGCCCACAGCGAGAGCCCGCAUUGCUGGAACUCCGACCUUGUUCUAGAGAGUCCGGCAUUCGAGCUACACCAUGAUUAAGUAGGGUUGAUCUUGUAGAUGUGGGGUGGGGCCUGAUGUGAUCACCUUGGCCCUGGCUUACCUCGUCCAUACAUGAAGGUGUUUGGGUUUUGGUUUCGGACUAGGAUCUGAUCCUGAAGGCUUCACUCAGUACAUAUGCUCAAGUCCUCAAACUUUUAGGGAAUGGUUUAACCCUUCCUGGCAACGCUGCAAGCCCUGCCACGUGAACAAACUUGGGCUGGCCUGCGGUAGACACAUGGCCCAGUUCAGAGUCAUUACCCCAGCCACCUACACCCACUGCCAGCCAGCCAUACAUGUGAGUGAAACCACCCCAGACCAAACAGCCCCCAGUCACCCCACUAGCUGACUGCGGCUGCGAGAGUCAGCCCAGGUGAGACCAACUGCAGAACUGAACUGCCUGGCUGGGCUCAGCCCAAAUGGUCCGGAAGAAUCAGGAGCUACAAAAUAAUAAUUAUUUUAAGCCACUGUGUUUCGGGUGGUUAAAUAAAAAAAGCUAACUGACAUACCCUGGACCAGAGUAGUUUCUAGGCAACAAAUAUCACUUACCUGGAUUCUGGGUCUUGAAAGUUGAAACAUUCCUUCUGUUUCCAGACUGGUUUCUUCAAUUUUUUGAAAGAAUUUUUAUGAGAUGAACUUAUUUAAAAAAAUUUUUUUUUAAUAUUUAUUUUUGAGAGACAGAGCAUGAGUGGGGGAGGAGCAGAGAGAGGAAGACACAGAAUCCAAAGCAGGCUCCAGGCUCCGAGCUGUCAGCACAGAGCCCGAGGCGGCGCUCGAAUGGAAGAACAAUGAGAUCAUGACCUGACCCGGAGUCAGCUGCUUAAUAACCGACUGAGCCUUGGAGGUGCCCCUUAUGUGAUGAACUUUAAUGCCUGGGAUCUUUGGGUCAUUUUUCCCCCAGUAGGACUGAAAGUGGCUUUUCAAAAAACAAACAAAAAAAAACCCAGUUGCUCUGUUUUGUAUCUUUCUAUUUUCAUUUGCAGAGCAUCUGAAUAGGCAAUUAAGGGAGAAAUCAUGAUUCUAUUUCAUAUUUUUGAUACUUCUCUUGGUUAAAUGAUGCAUCCCUAGCUGGGCUCAAGGAGGUGCUAGAGGUGGCCAGCUACCAGGGGGAGGGGAGUAACAGCCACCUGUUGGGCACAGCCCAUUGCCAACUGGAACAAAGCCCUGGAAUCUGGAGAGAAGCCCCUAACUUGCAGUGUCCCUCUAGCGCCCUCUACCGACAAGACCUGACCUCAUGCCAGCUGAUAAAUACUGGAAUUAAGAGGCAAUCAAUCAAAAAUUGGCCCCGUGACUAAUGGGCUCCCCAAAUGUAAUAACAUUUGAUAGUCAAGAGAAUGGCUAACAUUGAGUUCUCAGUGCUUUUUGUGUUAUUUAUCUCUGAAUAAUCAGGAGACAGCUUCUGGGGAGAGAGGAUAGUGGUCCUUUCUGUGUCUAUGGUCUGUUCACCCUUCCCUAGGCUCAGAGCCUGAGUUGGCCCUGGGUAGCCAACUUUCCCCCUGGCAGGGCAGGCCCAUCGGGUGGAGCUGAGUCCAUCCCUGCUCCAAGGCAGGCAUGUGCCCCAGGGAUGGUGAGUCAGAGCUCUCUCCAACCCUCCACACCACAUUGCGGUGAUGGGACAAUGGGAAAUAAUCCAGGGGAGGAGCCAUGUCACCUCCAGAAACUCAGACAUCCAGACAGGAUGUGGAUGUGGUGCUGACACUCCUUGCCUCGCUUCCUUGUAGUUUUAAAAAUUCCUUUUUCUACCUAGCACUUACUAUCCUCUGACAUGUAUUUUUCCCUUCUUGGUUUCCUUGAUCUCCUCCUCUGAAAGGUAAGCUUUUAUAAAGGGAGAGACUGAGGUCUGAUUUGUUCCCUGCCGAGUCCCCAGAUCUAGAACAGUGCCUGGUACACAUGUUAGGCAAGCAAUAAAUAUCUGAAUGUAUGAAUGAGUCAUUAACAACUAUACCGCCUAGGACAGGGGCAGAUGCAACUUACCUCAGCAUAGCUUCCUGGGCCCCCAACUGGGUCUUAAGAUAUCAGUGACAUUGUCUGCAUAACAUUGGUUCUCACUGGAUCUGGAAAAUUUGAGUCUUCUAAUUCUACAGUGCCUUGAAUACCCAGGACUUAACACCAGUUAAAGAAUUUUUGAUAAAUUCAGUGCGUUGUCCAUUUGGUAACAUGAACAUCUUGUGAGUUGGUUUCUAGUGAAUCACCCUAUUUCCUUAUUUUCACUCCAGUCCUCAGCCAUGUGUAAUUUCUUCCUGCAAUCCAAAAUGAAAACAUUUUGAAAUAAUGCCAACAGAUAAAAAAUUUCAAAUAGGGGUGCCUGGGUGGCUCGGUCAGUUGAGUGCCCGACUUCGGCUUAGGUCAUGAUCUCCUGGUUUGUGGAUUCGAGCCCCGCGACGGGCUCUGUGUUGACAGCUCAGAGCCUGGAGCCUGUUUCGGAUUCUUUGUCUCUGUCUCUCUCUCUCUCAAAAA